GAUGAACGCUGGCGGCGUGCCUAAUACAUGCAAGUCGAGCGAACGGACGAGAAGCUUGCUUCUCUGAUGUUAGCGGCGGACGGGUGAGUAACACGUGGAUAACCUACCUAUAAGACUGGUAUAACUUCGGGAAACCGGCGCUAAUACCGUAUAAUAUUUUGAACCGCAUGGUUCAAAAGUGAAAGACGGUCUUGCUGUCACUUAUAGAUGGAUCCGCGCUGCAUUAGCUGGUUGGUAAGGUAACGGCUUACCAAGGCAACGAUGCAUAGCCGACCUGAGAGGGUGAUCGGCCACACUGGAACUGAGACACGGUCCAGACUCCUACGGGAGGCAGCAGUAGGGAAUCUUCCGCAAUGGGCGAAAGCCUGACGGAGCAACGCCGCGUGAGUGAUGAAGGUCUUCGGAUCGUAAAACUCUGUUAUUAGGGAAGAACAUAUGUGUAAGUAACUGUGCACAUCUUGACGGUACCUAAUCAGAAAGCCACGGCUAACUACGUG
RNAcentral lists this ribosomal RNA (497 nucleotides) under uncultured bacterium. RNAcentral describes it as "partial 16S ribosomal RNA". It matches the Rfam family "Bacterial small subunit ribosomal RNA", at positions 28 to 507 of the family's 1533-position model. The record is from RNAcentral.